UUCCUACGGGGUGGCWGCAGUAGGGAAUCUUCCGCAAUGGRCGAAAGUCUGACGGAGCAACGCCGCGUGAGUGAUGAAGGUUUUCGGAUCGUAAAGCUCUGUUGUUAGGGAAGAACAAGUGCCGUUCAAAUAGGGCGGCACCUUGACGGUACCUAACCAGAAAGCCACGGCUAACUACGUGCCAGCAGCCGCGGUAAUACGUAGGUGGCAAGCGUUGUCCGGAAUUAUUGGGCGUAAAGGGCUCGCAGGCGGUUUCUUAAGUCUGAUGUGAAAGCCCCCGGCUCAACCGGGGAGGGUCAUUGGAAACUGGGGAACUUGAGUGCAGAAGAGGAGAGUGGAAUUCCACGUGUAGCGGUGAAAUGCGUAGAGAUGUGGAGGAACACCAGUGGCGAAGGCGACUCUCUGGUCUGUNNAWCUGACGCUGAGGAGCGAAAGCGUGGGGAGCGAACAGGAUUAGAUACCCCKGGUAGUCA
RNAcentral lists this ribosomal RNA (473 nucleotides) under Bacillus velezensis. RNAcentral describes it as "bacterial SSU rRNA". Lineage: Bacteria; Bacillati; Bacillota; Bacilli; Caryophanales; Bacillaceae. The record is from RNAcentral.